UACGUAGGGGCCAAGCGUUGUCCGGAUUUAUUGGGCGUAAAGAGCUCGUAGGCGGUUGGGUAAGUCGGGUGUGAAAACUCCAGGCUCAACUUGGAGAUGCCACCCGAUACUGCUCUGACUUGAGUUCGGUAGGGGAGUGGGGAAUUCCUGGUGUAGCGGUGAAAUGCGCAGAUAUCUGGAGGAACACCGGUGGCGAAGGCGGCAUCCUGGACCGACACUGACGCUGAGGAGCGAAAGCCAGGGGAGCAAACGGG
Molecule: ribosomal RNA, 254 nt
Filed under: uncultured bacterium
Lineage: Bacteria
Description: partial 16S ribosomal RNA
Rfam family: Bacterial small subunit ribosomal RNA
Source: RNAcentral